This 8109-nucleotide long non-coding RNA is filed under the name Coffea arabica (coffee). RNAcentral describes it as "long non-coding RNA (CARA_LNC006724)". The record is from RNAcentral. Lineage: Eukaryota; Viridiplantae; Streptophyta; Magnoliopsida; Gentianales; Rubiaceae.
AUUCCUGGUGAAGCACUCUUCAAUGGCGGAUGGAGAUGACACAACAACAAAGGAACGGCAGCCGAAUUGGAGAAAGAAAAUCGGACCAUAUCUUGAUGAUAAUGAAGUCAAGUCUUCGUAGAGUGAGUUCUUGAUAAGGUAAAGAUGGCCAAUUAUUGGCAAAGCAAGUGGACUUGGUGGUAACUUCUUGUUCUUGACAUGGUUGAAUAGCAAGUUUUUGGAGAUGAGAAGUAAAGGUAAAGAACACAAUGAGAUGGUGACGAGGUAGUAGCAGAGAUUUUCCAUGGCCUAAAGCUGAAAGUCACACGAGACUUCUUAGUUAACUUCUGCUAUAUUUGUCCCCUCUUGCAUUGAUAAUGUGCAAUUAUUCAUGUGCUGAAAAGUCAAACUGAUAAUGCCAAAGUCAUUGUUUAUUGGAUAAUGCGUAAUAAUUCGUGAAACGUGAAAUUCAUGACGAAAUUGUGGGAGGAACUUUGUCGUCUAUGAGCUCACUAAUUGAGAUGAACUAGGAGGUAUAACUGCCGAGUUGCGCGGUGGAAUAGCCAGCAUGUAUGCCUAUUUAGGCAUGAUUAAGUAGGCAUUACAUGGAUAGUCAUAAUGUCAUUGGAAUAAAUAUCUUGGGUUACUUGCAUGUGUUUUAUUUAUUGAGAUUUAUAUACCUUGUAAUUUAAUCAUUAAGAUAUUUAAGAAUAUUUAGAAGAAAAUUUAAAAAUAGCUUUCAAUCCAAAAGCACAAUUGUAAGACAGCUUAUUAGAUAGACAAUAUAGAUUAGGAGGAUGAGGUAAGCAAGUAACUGAACUAAAAAUUAAUAUCAAAAGAAAAAACAAUACAAAAGGUAAUACAAAAAUGUAGCUGAACAAUAUAAAAUCCAAGUUCAUGAUAGAGCGAAUAAGGAAGAAAAAUGUGAAACUCAACAAAAGGUUAAAUCAAAUGAAGCUAUUUAGAAAUAUGAAACCAGUGAUCGGUACAUUGCUUCGGCCAACAACAAUUGCAUCAAUAAUUUAGACUUUUAGUAACAUAAUACUUGAAUUCUUAAUGUGUGAUGCCAGGGUACAUAAUCUCUAUUCCAUUGGCUCCAAAGAUCAGAAUAGCUAAUGAUUUUCUUGCUUCUUACAGAUCACUUGAUUAAGCAUAUAGGAUCAUAGAAAUCAAUUUAUAUGCAUUAAUUAAUAAGCAGAAAAAUAUUACUCAAGUCUGAAAGUUAGGUGCUCUGGUAGAUAAAAGGAGAAGGUAAUAAGGAAAUAUACCAAAUAACAAUAAAUAUCCAGAAGCCACAUGGUCCAAAACCUGUUGGUGCUAUCAAUGCAGAAUAUCUCAACUAUGUUAACAGAAGCAUGUGUUUGAAGCAAAAACAUCAAAAUGCAACUCUAGGCAUACACAUAAGCCAAUGAAUGCAUAAGUUGUACAUCUGUCUGAAUUUGUCUAAUCUUGACAUAAUCCAAAAUAUUUCCUACUACAUCAAUGUAGCUUCAAGGAGUACCAUGGAUAAAGAAAGAUCAGACAAGUCUUUUUUUUUUUUUUUUUUUUUGGCAUUGCCAGAUUUAUCAACUUCUAUAGAUUCCCUUCCUAUCUCUGUAGCAUCUCUAAACCUUGCUGUGAGGCGAACUUGUAAUCGUGAAGAAGAUCGUUCUCCCUCUGAAAUAAAAAAGCGUGCCAUGUUAAUAAAUUGGAUAAGUAAAGAUUCAAGGGGGACGGAAAAAUUAAUGUAAAAAAUGACCUGAUGCAUGAGUUUGAGCUAGUGUUACAAACGAACCGAACUGCUCGUGAGCGGCUCGAGUCAAGCUCGAUUAGAGCUCGAUUAAUAUUGAGUUCGAGCUGGCUCGAGUCGAAAUCGAGCUCGAACUCGAAUUCAAAAUAUUAAACUCGCGCGAGCUCGAGUAUAUAUAUAAUUUUUUUUUAUUUUAAGUGUAUAUAUAUUUUUUUAUUUUUUAUUUUAAGUAUAUAUAUUUUUUAUUUUUUUAAUUUUAAUAGUAAAAUUACAUAUAUAUAUCCUUAAUAUUUUAUUAUUUACUAAAAAAUAUUAUUUUAUUUAUUUUUUAAAAAAUAAAAUAAUUAUUUUUUUUCGAGCUCGAGCUCGAGGUUGAAAUUGUCAGCUCGUCGAGCUCGAAUUUGAGUUCGAGUUCAAUGAAAUUAUGUCGAGACUCGGCUCGAUUAGGCCAAAACUCAACUCGGCUCGACUCUACUCGGCUCGUUUUCAGCCCUUUGAGCAUUCUAUUCUUCAGCCUGGACAAGUUCAUUGUUGGCACUGAUGUGGAAAUCUUUGUUGCCAGAAGACGUUGCCGUGCUUUCUCCAAAGUAAUAAGCAACCGUGUAAUGGUUAUAUCCAUUACCAUCUCUGAUAUUUCCUGAUUUCAGUUGUACAAUGAACUUUUCAAGCUCUUUAUGCACCUUUUCAAGCGGCAAUUGUUCAUUCUAUAAGUAAAACCAUAAACUUGAAUUAGUACGCAUAGUCUAUAUAUGAUUCCGACAAACUUGUUCACACAGAUAGAGACACAUGGCAAUGGUGACUUAUCAAUUUUCCUAGAGGGCAUGUAAAAAGGUUACACAAAACACCAGCCAAGGAAAUCUCUUGUAAUCAGCAGGAAAAAAAAUCAAAUAAAAAGACUCAAUCUUUCAAGGUAAAAACCAUAACGAGAAGGAAAGGCAAAGCAUAUACAUUUUUUGACUAUACAAAACUCCAUCGUCUGACAAGCUGAAAUGCAAACUCAAUGACAGGCACACAAGUACCAAAAAGAAACCAAAAGAAAUAGCCAAGGAAAAAUUGUAAGAGAAGCUGCAAUUCUUACAAAAGCUCAACCAAGCUCAAGAUCCAAGCAAUUAAAAAUUUUUCUGCCUAGGAAAAAAUCUAAAAGCUUAACACAUCAACAGACGCAUAACAGGAGAGACCGACAACAGCACCGAGCAAAGACACAGUCGCAACCUAUAUCUAGCAAUAGUUUCAUAAGCACACCGGUACCAGAAACAAUUCUUAGGAAGACUCAACCAUUUCAAGAAAAAUAAAAGCAAAGACCCAGAACAACACCAAGCAAAGAAAAAGCCACAAACCAGUAAGAUUAAUCAAAGCCAAUGCAUAAAGGAAUCGUAAUCAGAGCUCGCAAGUAUAGGAUCCCUAAAAGGGCCGAGUACUCAGUGAAACAGGAGGAAAGAAACGAAGAAGUUUAAGCCAAGGUUGUAAGCAACUCGGAUAGAGAAGAUAGUGAGAGGGAGAAGCUCGAAAAGGGGAAAAAUUGACGCAUAAUUGAGAUGCCAUCUCCAAAAAUUUACACCCCAUUGAUAGAGGUGAACACUGCAAAUUGCACCAAUCAUCAUUUAGGAAGAUGCUUCUAAUAGAUUCAGGCGUAGCAGCAGAAAGAGCUGAAAGAGGAAAGGAAAUCACAGGCGCAUAUCUCGUCCCCCUGAAGACGGGCCAGUCAGACAAUCUGUUUACCCGUAUAAAGUAAUAAUGAUGGACCACCCACAUGAUCCGCCUGCUUUAAAGAGACAAGUGCAAGUCACGUGACGACGACGAAAAGUUUGAAACCUCUUGGUGCAUUGUAUGUUAUGUUGACAAUUGGCAAGAAUUAUACAUUGAAAUAUAAAUAUAAUAAAGCUAGAGGAGUGGCGUUGGUGUAAAUUUUUUUUUUUUUUCCUUGCUAAUUUUGAACUUUCUUUUAUAUCCUUAUAAAAUCUAAUUUUUACCUUAAUUACCUAAUCAUAUUUUACCUACAUAAUUACUCAUAAUGGCCUUAAGUAUUUUAAGUACCACAUUACUAUAGACUUAUAAAUCAGAGUUCUUUAAUUUAUAUAAAUUGUAUGUAUGUGAAAAAUAAAAUUCAUAUAAUAUUAAUUUAUGUUAAUUAUUUUUAAAUUACACAUAGAUUAAGUAUGCCUUUAACGCUUGUCUCCAAUAACUGGGACAUCAAUCAAUAGCAGAAUAAAGGAGUUUUCCGCUAUUGAUUUACCAAAAGAGACAUUGCCCGUUCCAUGGUUUCUUCUGAAGUACUUGUUCCGGCCGUGACCAAUGCCUAAACAAAAUUUAUAAAGAAGAAACACUUGGUCGAAGGAAUGAGGAUAAAUGUUAGAAUCUCUGAUCUAAUGAACCGUUAGGCUUCUUUGGAAUUUAGUCUAAUUGAAGAUUGUUUUUUUUUUUUUCAAUUUAGUUUGCUGGAAUAAUUGAAUGACUUUAACCCUAUAAUAAUGAUUCCAAAAUGAUGGGGAUUAAUAUUUUUAAUUUGAAUUUGAACAUUAAAUUUUGGAUAUGUGACGUGCAUUUAAACCCACUAAUAUAGGCACUGUUAGGAGAUAAAAGAUUUAUCCAAACAAUUGAAAGAAAACAAGAGAAUAGAUGUGGUUGUUGGCAUCAUCUAACUUGAAAAAAUUAAGGAACGUUCCAAUAGUUACAGCGAUGAUCUUCUUGUUUCGCUUGUGAAGCAGAUAGAUACUAGAAGUCUUACCAGUACGAUUCCUUUGACAAUAUCCAGGGUGUAGAACUCAGGGUCAGAUUCUUGCAAAGACAAUAAUGAUUGGAUUAUGGUCUUGCUCUGAUCAGGUGAUGAGGCUGAACCACUUCAGUUCUUCAACUUUCCUCACUCAGAUCGUGCAUGAAAUCAUCAAACUUCCCCUGGUAAUUCUUCAACAUCUUCCUAUACGUUUUCCCAAGACCAAGCCACCUCAUUAUUGGCACAUAUUGACAAAUGUCCGCGGGCAACUUUGCCGAGAACAUAUCAAUCGACAUUAUUGGAAAUAGUAAUCAAGAUUAAUGUCCAGUAGAGGACCUCUGAAUCCAAAGCCAUGCUGGAGAAGCAAAGGCAAGUGAUGUAGCUAUGUAAGUUUCACACUUUCACUCUUAUCGAUCUGACAUAGGCAGUAAUCAAAUCAAUGGCCAAAGCGACAGCAACAGUAGCCUGAUAUGUAUAGAUGGCAAAAGAGGAGAUUCCAUAGAUAUCUUCCCGCCUGCCACAGAAUUAGUAUGACCUUCCACCAACGUUGGAUUUUGUCACUAAGAUACUUGCAUUCCCCCAGAAACAAACACUAUAAGACAAUAGAUACAGUUGUUAAAAGUUAGCAUUGUUUUUUAGAUUUGGUCACAAAUUCUCGCACAAAACUUGGCCAAAGUGACUUGUGAUUUGAGAGAUGUGUACAUUUAUUCCUUUUGCACAUUAUGCGCAUUAAUCAAGUUGUUUAAUGUGAACACACAGAUCGAAUAUUAGUUGUAAACAGAAAUAAAGAUUUUAUACACGAAGGAUGGCUAAGUUCUAGUACAAUAAUUAAGAAUAGUCUUGCCUGCCACUUCAUGAUAACGACAUGAUAGCUUCUGCUACCACAAUUCACUGCUUCUAGUUGGCUUUCAAAGUUGAGAGAGAAGUUGGAUUGAUUCCUGGCGUGGAGCGCAUAGGGCCUCCAAAUGGUUAGCCUUCUUCAGACUGAUUCUGUUGCUAAAGUUAACGUCCAAUUCACCAUCCUCUUCAACUUUAUCCCAAUCAAAACACUGGAUGAAUGUACCCACUGCCAAUGAGACAUUCCGAAUGCCUAGAUUGGCUCCGGGACAAGCUCUCCUCCCUAUCCCAAAUGGUAAAAACUUGGAAUUGAACUCUUCGUUAUCCAUUAAUCCCUUCGCUUCGAAUCUUUCUGGCAUGAAUUUCUCGGGCUGCUCCCAGAGUUUUGGAUCCCUAUGUACGGCCCAGGCAUUAGCUAAAACAAUUGUACCUUUUGGAAUAUCAUACCCCCCGACUCGGCAGUCUUCAGAUGCAUGAUGAGGUAUCAGAAGUGGUGCCGCGGGGUACAGUCUCAAUGUCUCAUUGACAACACAACGAAGAUAGGGAAGCUUUGGAAUAUCAGAUUCAUCCACCAGCCUUCCAUGUCCUACGCUGUUGUCAAUCUCAGUCCUUAGUUUCUGUAGUGCCUUCGGGUGAUUCAGUAAAAGCAACAUAGCCCAUUCAGUGGUCAGUGUGGACGUUUCUCUUCCUGCUGUAAGCAUUAUCUGAAUCAACGGUUGCUUUUGUUAGUCAAAAUAAAUAUGGCUAAAAUUAGGGUCGGAAAGAAUCCCAGAAAGGUUGCUUUUAAAUACGUUGUCCAACAGGAUCAUCCUUCUGAAAAGCUUUGCCAAGCACAAGCAAGGGAAAGGAUGAUGGCAAAUGACAACCAAUGCGCUCAAAUGCAUCAAAGCUGAAGCCAUUAUCAUUUCAUAAGAUUGAUUGUGAAAUUAAGGGUGGUUGUUUUCAGGAAUUUUGCUAAUUAAAAUUUCAUGCUAGAAACCUUAUCCACUAGCAUAACACAUAACAAAACUAAGCAUAAAGUAUCAGAUUACUAAUCUUAUCUUAGUAUCAGAAUCCAAAGUAUGGCAUAACGACUCUAUGCUAUAUACGGAUACAACUUAUUAAACUCAUGAUCCAAGUCAGUUGAUGCUAAAUUAAGCAGGACUUUUGUAAGAAGGCCGGUUGGAGGAACACUAACUCCACAUGAGUCUAUUUCUAAUUCAUUAUCAUAAUCAGAAUGAGCCAAGAGAAAAUAAAGGAAUUCACAAGCUCCAAAACUUCGUUAUCACCUAUAACGGAUCCUAGCUUCUCUUUAAGAAGAAUCGAUUGAUAAACAGUUUUCAACGAUCUGGUUAGAUCAAGUCUAUUUAAACUAUCAACCUUUACUCUUGAAAUAACAUCAAAAUAAAAUUCUUUUAACACUUAUUCCGAUUCCAAAAGAGUUCUUUAACAAGAUGUUCUUCAUAAGAAUAGCUUUAUUUGUCACUCUACCAGGACAUGUUAAUACAAGUUUGCCUGAUUCUUCCGGGGUCAGUCCAAUAUAAUUUUAGGAGUAAUUUUCGCCCCACUACAAUAUAUGUUGACAUGUAUCUUUGGGAUAGUUUUGAAUAGGUAAUAUAUUCACACGAAGAGGCCAUAAUUGAUGUGUGCCGCCUUCUAUUAGUUAGCUCCCACGGGCAAAGAAUCAAUUUCUAAAGGUUCAUAUAGAGCUCUUACUGUUGCCUCACAGGAUCGUAAUGAACUUAAUUGAUAACCAUAUUAACUUUAUAUUGCUGAAGAUAGCAAUUGUGAAAGUGAAACAAGUUAAAUGUAGAUUGGUGGUGGGCAAAAAGUAUAUUCUGAUAAGUGGGAUAAGCUCAUGAAGUAAGAAAGACGGAGAAAUUACAUUUUGCACUUACCAACGCAAUACCCUUUAUGAUGUCAUCUGAUAGAAAAUCUGAUUCUUUUUCCUUAGAAGCAAGCAGAUUUGCAAUCAAUGCCUUCUUCUCCUUGUCCAGCAGAGUAUCUGAAGAUUGAAAUUCGUCUAUGAAACCCUGAAAGAGUUUAUCUCUCUUCUUGUGCAAAGAGAUCAUUUUUUUUUCCAGUCCCUUGUAGCCAAUCCAUCUUAAUAUAGGAAAGAAGUCACACAAAUUCUGCGCAAUGCCUGAAGCAAACAUUUCCCUGAAUUCUUUAAUUAUUUGCAUCCCCAACUCCUCUCCAGCAUCCUCCUCUCUGAUGGAGCAUCGUCCAACAAGCAUCCUCAUGAUAACAUUGAGUGUAAAAACUGAAAUCCAAUAGUUCAAAUCAACUCUUAUUAGGCUUCCAUUCUUUGAAACUCUGUAAAUUGACCUGAGAAUCAUCUUAAUUUCUUCUUCCCUGAUAAAUGAAGUCCUCUGGAGGCUGUUGAAAGAGAAAGAUUCAACGACCAAGAGGCGACGAAGAACCCUCCACAAGUGGCCAUAUGGGGCUAUCCCAACGACUGUAUAGUUAUAGGAAAACCUGUCCCCUGCCAUGCCACGAGGACGGUUUGCAAGUAUGAUAUCAUUCCUGGUGAAGCACUCUUCAAUGGUGGAUGGAGAUGACACAACAACAAAGGAACGGCGGCCGAAUUGGAGAAAGAAAAUUGGACCAUAUCUUGAUGAUAAUGAAGUCAAGUCUUCGUAGAGUGAGUUCUUGAUAAGGUAAAGAUGGCCAAUUAUUGGCAAAGCAAGUGGACUUGGUGGUAACUUCUUGUUCUUGACAUGGUUAAAUAGCAAGCUUUUGGAGAUGAGAAGUAAAGGUAAAGAACACAAUAAGAUGGUGACGAGGUAGUAGCAGAGAUUCUCCAUGGCCUAAAGCUGAAAAUCACACAGAGACUUCUUAGUUAACUCCUGCUAUUUUUGUCCCCUAUUGCAUU